CACGUAGGCGGAUGUGUCAGUCAGGGGUGAAAUCCCGGAGCUCAACUUCGGAACUGCCUUUGAUACAGCACAUCUGGAGUCCGGAAGAGGUGGGUGGAAUUCCUAGUGUAGAGGUGAAAUUCGUAGAUAUUAGGAAGAACACCGGUGGCGAAGGCGGCCCACUGGUCCGGUACUGACGCUGAGGUGCGAAAGCGUGGGGAAGCAAACAG
RNAcentral lists this ribosomal RNA (209 nucleotides) under uncultured bacterium. RNAcentral's name for it is "partial 16S ribosomal RNA". It matches the Rfam family "Bacterial small subunit ribosomal RNA", at positions 568 to 775 of the family's 1533-position model. The record is from RNAcentral.